RNAcentral lists this ribosomal RNA (371 nucleotides) under uncultured soil bacterium. RNAcentral describes it as "bacterial SSU rRNA". It matches the Rfam family "Bacterial small subunit ribosomal RNA", at positions 26 to 393 of the family's 1533-position model. The record is from RNAcentral.
AGAUUGAACGCUGGCGGCCGGCCUAACACAUGCAAGUCGAACGGCAGCACAGUGGUAGCAAUACCAUGGGUGGCGAGUGGCGGACGGGUGAGGAAUACAUCGGAAUCUACCUUUUCGUGGGGGAUAACGUAGGGAAACUUACGCUAAUACCGCAUACGCCCUUCGGGGGAAAGCCGGGGAUCGCAAGACCUGGCGCGGAUAGAUGAGCCGAUGUCGGAUUAGCUAGUUGGUGAGGUAAUGGCUCACCAAGGCGACGAUCCGUAGCUGGUCUGAGAGGAUGAUCAGCCACACUGGAACUGAGACACGGUCCAGACUCCUACGGAGGCAGCAGUGGGAAUAUAGGACAAGUGGGCGACAAGCCUAGGACUACC